GGCAGAGAGAGAGGGUGUGUGUGGGGCAGAGGGAGAGGGUGUGUGUGGGCAGAGAGAGAGGGUGUGUGUGUGUGUGGGGCAGAGAGAGAGGGUGUGUGUGUGUGGGGCAGAGGGAGAGGGUGUGUGUGUGUGGGGAGAGAGAGAGGGUGUGUGUGUGUGGGGGGCAGAGGGAGAGGGUGUGUGUGGGGCAGAGGGAGAGGGUGUGUGUGUGUGGGGCAGAGGGAGAGGGUGUGUGUGUGUGGGGCAGAGGGAGAGGGUGUGUGUGUGGCAGAGAGAGAGGGUGUGUGUGUGUGUGUGUGUGUGUGUAGGAGAGGGUGUGUGUGGGGGGGGGCAGAGGGAGAGGGUGUGUGUGUGUGUGGGGGGCAGAGAGAGAGGGUGUGUGUGUGUGUGGGGCAGAGGGAGAGGGUGUGUGUGUGUGUGUGGGGGGCAGAGGGAGAGGGUGUGUGUGUGUGUGGGGGGGGCAGAGGGAGAGGGUGUCCAGUGUUUUUUCCAGUAGCUGAUGCUUGUAUGUGGGCAGUG
Oncorhynchus tshawytscha (Chinook salmon) is the source of this 519-nucleotide long non-coding RNA. The record is from Ensembl. Lineage: Eukaryota; Metazoa; Chordata; Actinopteri; Salmoniformes; Salmonidae.